Molecule: ribosomal RNA, 253 nt
Filed under: uncultured bacterium
Lineage: Bacteria
Description: partial 16S ribosomal RNA
Rfam family: Bacterial small subunit ribosomal RNA
Source: RNAcentral
UACGAAGGGGGCUAGCGUUGCUCGGAAUUACUGGGCGUAAAGCGCACGUAGGCGGAUUGUUAAGUCGGGGGUGAAAUCCUGGAGCUCAACUCCAGAACUGCCUUCGAUACUGGCGAUCUAGAGUCCGGGAGAGGUGAGUGGAACUGCGAGUGUAGAGGUGAAAUUCGUAGAUAUCGGGAGGAACACCGGUGGCGAAGGCGGCGACCUGGGACAAUACUGACGCUGAGGUGCGAAAGCGUGGGGAGCAAACAGG